RNAcentral lists this transfer RNA (68 nucleotides) under Drabescoides nuchalis. RNAcentral describes it as "tRNA-Leu". Lineage: Eukaryota; Metazoa; Arthropoda; Insecta; Hemiptera; Cicadellidae. The record is from RNAcentral.
UUUCAGUAUGGCAGAAUAGUGCAAUGAGCUUAAGAUUCAUAUAUAAAUAUUAAUUAUUUUAUUGAAAA